UACGUAGGCAGCAAGCGUUGUUCGGAUUUACUGGGCGUAAAGGGUGUGUAGGCGGUUUUUUAAGUUUGGUGUGAAAUCUCCCGGCUCAACUGGGAGGGUGCGCCGAAUACUGAAAGACUAGAGUGCGGGAGAGGAAAGUGGAAUUCCUGGUGUAGCGGUGAAAUGCGUAGAUAUCAGGAGGAACACCGGUGGUGUAGACGGCUUUCUGGACCGUAACUGACGCUGAGACACGAAAGCGUGGGUAGCAAACAGG
This 253-nucleotide ribosomal RNA is filed under the name uncultured bacterium. RNAcentral describes it as "partial 16S ribosomal RNA". It matches the Rfam family "Bacterial small subunit ribosomal RNA", at positions 524 to 776 of the family's 1533-position model. The record is from RNAcentral.